UACGUAGGGGGCGAGCGUUGUCCGGAAUUACUGGGCGUAAAGGGCGCGCAGGCGGCCCGCUAAGUCCGCUGUGAAAGACCGGGGCUCAACCCCGGGUGUCAGCGGAGACUGGUGGGCUAGGGUGUCGGAGAGGAGUGCGGAAUCCCUGGUGUAGCGGUGGAAUGCGUAGAGAUCAGGGGGAACACCGAUGGCGAAGGCAGCACUCUGGCCGGAGACCGACGCUGAGGCGCGAAAGCUGGGGGAGCGAACGGGAUU
This 255-nucleotide ribosomal RNA is filed under the name uncultured bacterium. RNAcentral describes it as "partial 16S ribosomal RNA". It matches the Rfam family "Bacterial small subunit ribosomal RNA", at positions 524 to 779 of the family's 1533-position model. The record is from RNAcentral.